UCCCGCCCACCUACCAAUGGCAGCUAGUUUCAUGUACUUCCUACUUUAACUCCAGGUACUUCCUGCCCCUCAACAGCCAAUAGAAAUGCCUUCUCUUUGUUUCCCCAGUAGCCAAUCAAUUGCCUGCCCUCCCCAUAAAACCCCAAGCACUAAACAGCCGGGCAAGACUUCUCUGGCCCCCCCCUUGGACCACUGAAGCUCGCCUGGGAGCUGAAUAAUUAGCUUCUCACUUUCUUAUACUUGCCUCAGUUUCUUCAUUUUACCUCAGCAAUAAAUCUUACAUUUGGUGCCGAAACCCGGGAGGAGUUGUGAGACCCUUCCCCCUCCUGGGAGGGGGGAACUGACUCCUCCACCCGAGGCCAGACCAGGAGCUGCUCUGCCAUGAGGAGGUGGAUGGAGUCUCAUUCUUUUGGCCAUGCUGGAAUGCAGUGGCACAAUUUCAUCCCACUGCAACCUCCGCCUUCCAGGUUCAAGCUGGAGUGCAGUGGCGUGAUCUCGGCUCACUGCAACCUUCACCUCUGGUUCAAGCGAUUUUCCUGCCUCAGUCUCCCUAGCUGGGAUUACAGUUUAGAUGCUCAAUAACGCACAGCUGUGAUGUCUCUUGUCCAAUAAUCAUGGGACUGCUCCUGUUGCCAACUUUGCCUGUAGUUCACCAAAGUCAAGUUGCCCAAGGAGAAGCUGGACUUCGCAGAUAGUCAGUGGCAGAGCUGGGUUCAACCCUGGAUCUGGCUGACUUGAAUCCUGUUCACAUUCUUUUCUCCACUCUGCCUUAUUUGCUGUCACAUCUUGGCUGGCAGGCACAGAGUCAAACCUGACAGGGACCGUGAAAAGCCGGGAGUUUUCAGCCUGCUAGGCAAGCGGCAGUGCCAUAGAGCCACUAUGCAAGAAAUGCCUUUUGCCCUCUGCCAUGAUUGUGAGACCUCUCCAGCCAUGUGGAACUGUAAGUGAAAUUAAACCCUCUUUUCUUCUUAGUCUCAGGUCUGUCUUUAUUAGCAGCAUGAAAAUGAGCUAAUACAGUAAAUUGGUACCGGUAGAGUUGGGCACUGCUGAAAAGUUACCCAGAACUGUGGAAGUGACUUUGGAACUGGGUAACAGCAAGAGGUUGGAUCUGUUUGGAGGGCUCAGAAAAAGAUAGGAAAAUGUGGGAAAGUUUGGAACUCCCUAGAGACUUGUUGAAUGGCUUUGCCCAAAAGUCCAAUAAAGUCCAGGACAAGGUGGUCUAAGAUGGAAAAGAAGAACUAGUUAAGAACUGGAGUAAAGAUGACUGUUGCUAUGUUUUAGCAAAGAGACUGGCAACAUUUUGCCCCUGAUCUAGAGAUUUGUGGAACUUUGAACUUUAGAGGGAUGAUUUAGGGUAUCUGGAGAAAUCAAUUUGUACGCAGCUAAGCAUUCAAAUGGUGACUGGCGUGCUAUUAAAGGCAUUGCAUUUUAUAACUUUUAUGCUCUACAUCAACGUUUGGAAAAUUUGCAGCCUGUAAAUGUAAUAAUAAUUAAAAAAACCAUUCCAUUUUCUGAAGAGAAAUUUAAGUCUGCAACAGAAAUUUAUGUAAGUAAUGAGAAACUUACUUGGAAUGUUAAUUUCCAAGACAAUGGGGAAUAUGUCUCCAGGACAUGUCAGAGGUCUUCUUGGCAGUCCCUCUUAUCACAGGCCUGGAGGAAGAAAUGGUUUCAUGGGCCAGUCCCCAGGUCCUGUGCUGUGCACAGCCUGGGGAGUUGGUGCCCUGUCCUUGGGGCCAAGGGCCAGCUUAGGCUGUGGCUUCAGAGGGUGCAAGCCCCAACCUUCCAUGUGGUGUUGAGCCUGUGGUAUACAGAAGUCAAGAAUUGAGGUUUGGAAACAUUUAGCUAGAUUUUAGAAGAUGUUUGGAAACACCUGGAUGUCUAGCCAGAUGUUUGCUGCAGGGGUGAGGCUCUCAUGGAGAACCUCUUCUAGUGCAGUGUGGAAGGGAAAUGUGGGGUUGGAGCCCUCCCACAAAGUCCAUACUGGGGCACCGCCUAGUGGAGAUGUGAGAAGAGGAGCACCGUCCUUCAGACACCAGACCCACCAACAGCUUGCACUGUGCACCUGGAAAAGCCACAGACAUUCAAUGCCAGCUGUGAGAGCAGCCAGGAGACAAGGCUGUACCCUGCAAGGUCACAAAGGUGGAGCAGCCCAAGACCAUGGAAACCCACCUCUUGCAUCAGCAUGACCUGGAUGUGAGACAUAGAGUCAAAGGAGAUCAUUUUGGAGCUUUAAUAUUUAGCUGCCCCGCUAGAUUUCAGAUUUCAUGGGGCCUGUAGCCCCUUUGUUUUGGCCUAUUUAUCUCAUUUGCAAUGCCUAUAUUAACCCAAUGCCUGUACUCUCCACUGUAUCUAGAAAGUAACUAGCUUUUAAUUUCACAGACUCAUAGGCAGAAGGGACUUGCUUUGUCUCAGAUUAGACAUUAGACUGUGGAUUUCUGAGUUAAUGCUGAAAUAAGUAAAGCCUUUGGGAACUGUUGGGAAGGCAUAAUUUGUUUUGAAAUGUGAGGAUAUGUUGUUUGAGAGGGGCCAGGGGUGGAAUGAUACAAUUUGGCUGUGUCCCCACCCAAAUCUCAAUGUGAAUUGUAUCUUCCAGAAUUCCCACAUGUUGUGGAAGGGACCCAGUGGGAGGUAAUUGAAUCAUGGGGGCUGGUCUUUCCUAUGCUAUUCUUGUGAUAGUAAGUUUCACAAGAUCUGAUGGGUUUAUCAGGGGUUUCCUCUUUUGCUCCCUCCUCAUUCUCUCUUGCAGCUGCCAUGUAAGAAGUGCCUUUCGCUUUCUGCCAGGAUUGUGAGACCUUCCCAACCGUGUUGAACUGUAAGUCAAAUUCAGUCUCCUUUUCUUUCCUGUCUCCGAUAUGUCCUAAUCAACAGCAUGAAAAUGGACUAAUACAUGAGUUAUACAGUAUCACUUCUCCAUAAAGUAGGGAACUAGAAUAGAAAUAGGGCCUUAAUUUUGGCUGCAAAAAAAUAAGUGUCUAAGAGUGGAAUUGCUAAUGUUGCACAUGAAAUGAUACAAUGUGAGGUGGUCAGGGAUUCAGAAAGUGAUGGAUUUAGGAAAGUACCCUACAAGCUUUGCAGUCUUUUGGAUUAAAACAUAGAGUAUGGAAUGAAGUCAGGCCAGAGAAUCUUGAAAACCAUGCUUGUAGAAGAGUAUAGCCAUCAUCACACAUCUAUUUUAGUAUUAACAAUAUUAGAGAUUAAAACUCAGCUAAUAUAUCUGCUUUUUCCAAUUGGCUCUGUGCUCUUGGAAAAGUGUAGUAUGCAGUAGAUUGUCAAUAUAUGCCUAUAAAACUAAAGAGAAAGGAAUUGCACUUUAUCCCUUUUUGACUCUAUAUUUGUUUCCAUUUUGUUUCCCAAACAGAAAGUUUCCUCAAAUUUUAGCAUCUAUUAAUGUUUCUAAGUGGAACCAAAUCAUGGGAUCUCUCUCUUUUCUCCUUCUUACUCCAGUGCAUGAAAGUGGAAGAAGCACAUUCUUAUAUUCCCGUUUCCUGGUUGUAACAAUCCUGUUGGGAAAAGGAAGAUGAAUCACAGGGCAAUGGAGGCAAUACUGUUAUAGUCCUUAGAAAGAGUCAUAAUCCUUGCCCAUAAUGCUGUAUAGAUAUCCUUCUCCAAUAUGAGUUUAAAAGAUAAUUCAGUAAUUCAUCAGAACAGUUAGGAAACUACUAGAAACUUCAUGACCUCAUAUUCUUUAAAGGAACCAAUUUAUUGUAUUGUUGUGACUUUCAUUUGUUCUCCCCUUUGAUGUUUAUGUGAUGAGCACCUUUGGUGAUGGCUGAAAUUAUACAUAGACAAAGAGGACUCAGGCAUGACAAAGAUGUCUUCUAAUUUUCCUGGAGAUUAAUCUCUCCCUCUUAAAUCUACAAAAUUAAACUUUUUCUUGGUUUGAUUUUGUACCCCAAUAUUUUUUCCUAGCUAUAAUUAGAGAUGAAAAUUAAGAGAGCAAUGAAAAAAGUACUCUGAUUUAUUACUUUUGACAGGGAAGGUCUUUUUCCCAUGUGGCUUCUGCAUUCCUUUCUUUAGAGGGAAAAAGCAGAGGAAGAGGACUAUUUGUCAGCUAGUAGCAGCUUCCAAGAAAAGAAGUAUAUUUGGGAAAGUAUUUGAGAUUAAAACACAUUAGAAAAGAUGCAUCUCAUUAAAUCAAGAUAUUGUUCAAAUCAACCCACUAUGCUUUUUUUAAAUGUUAAAUUUGUAUGUUUUAAAACUUAGAGUUUUAACAACUUAUGUUCCUUAUUGAUUGAUGACAUAACCUCCACAAACCAGAAUUCUACCUAAAGAUGAAAACUUCCUUUGGAAAAAUAUGGGGGCUGGCAUUUUAAUGAGCAUUUACAAGCCAAGUGCCUGAUGAACUGUGUGGUUGCGCUACUUUUUAAAUUGUCAUAAGUCUUGGAGGAGCUAUUAUUAUACCUAUUUUUUAGAGGAGCAAACUAAGGCUGAGAUUCUACCUUGUCCAGGGAAACAUAAAACAUAAAUAGAAGAGCCAUAAAUGGGAUACAUAUUAUCCCAAACCAAUGCCUCUCAAACAUUUUCUUUCUUCGUUUUUUGUUUUGUUUUGUUUUGAAACCCAAGAGAGUGCAAUGGCCACAGGCCCACUUUUCUUUCCCUGCCUAGUUGUGAAAUGUUGCUUGUUGUUUCUACCAACCUAGAAUAUUAUUCCUGGAUUUUUUUCUUUCUUAAUUUUUUAAUCAGAAAGCCAAUAGAUUUUCUAAAAAUUUUCAGUAUUUUACCCAUAUUUUAUUGAUCUAUGAUGCUAUUGACUAAAAGACAUACAUUGGAUUAUGUAUGUUCUAAAGAAAACAAAUGCUGUCAACAAAACUAUGACAUAAUGCUUUAAAAAAUAGUCCUGCAUGGUGCACGAAUCAGUCACAUCACCACUCAUUGUAUUUCAUCAAUUCCAAGAUAUUUAGCAAUUUCUUGUGUUUUUAGUUCCUCUGCAUGGCAGGUGAUAGCAAUCCCUUUUGUUUGCAUUUAAUAACAAAGCCUAACACAGCUUCAUCUACUUCUGGGUAUUAUUUUUCUUAGGUCCCAUAAGACACAUGGUUAUUGUUUUGUAAGGAAAUAAGGGGCUCUAGUCAUUCCUGAAAUGAUGAAUAUUUGCCUCACUAAAAGCAAAUGCAUUCCCCACUGCUCUAUUUUUAUGUAUUUUUUGUAUAUAAUGACUUCUGCCUCAAUGCGGAAUCAUGUGCAGUCUUUUAGAAGGCAUUUUAAAUGACAAUUAAACUCAACACUUGUAGCACUAAAAAUAUUCAAAACUCAAUGGAAGUGACAACAAUGUGAAUAUUUAUACUGGAAGCAAUGACAACCACAUCAGAACUGCCACCUGGCCAGCAGUGAUUAUAAUAUGUCACUAAAUCUAACACUCUUCCUAAUUUCAGAGGUAUUAAAAUGUGAAAAACUGUACUUCUUAGAAUCAACGAAAUAAGUAAAUAUUAAACAUGCUUUUUAACAGUCUCUCUUUUCUGCAUUUCAGAUUCUGAUCUGGUCCCAGCUCUUAUAUUCUUGAAGCACCCCUGUCCCCUAUACCUCUCAUCCUGCAGAGAAAUACUGCUGUACUCUGUGCCUCUUUCCACUAAGAAAAGUUUUUUCAUCUACUCUAGGCUUCAUUUUAGCAUUUACCCCAAGGCCUGUUAUAAAUGGACAGAAAAUUAAAUUUUUCUUUUUCCUCUUAGGGAGAGAAAACCUAACUACAUUUCCAACUCAUGACAGUGUAUAUUCCACAUUUACAUUGUAUCAUGGUCAUGUGUAGUCCCUUGCUGAUAGAUAGGGUGAACAUAAAGGGAUUUAAUUUUUGAACUCAUAAUAAACUUUUUCAACAACUUGAUAGUUUGUACGUAAGAAUUAUUUUCUAUAAAUUGUCUCUUUACUCUGUUGAUAGUUUCUUUUGCUGUGCAGAAGCUCUUGAGUUUAAUUAGAUUCCACUUACCAGGUUUUGCUUUUGUUAUGGUUGCAUUUGGUAUCUUCAUCAUGAAAUUUUUGCCCAUUCCUAUGCCCAGAAUCAUCUUGUCUAGGUUGUCUUUCAAGGUUUUUAUCAUUUUGGGUUUUACAUUUACAUUUUUAAUUCAUCUUGAGUUGAUUUUUUUACAUGGUGUAAGGAAGGGAUCUAGCUUCAAUCUUCUAUAUAUGACUAGCCAGUUACCAAGUACCGUUUAUUGUUUAGGGAGUCGUUUCCCCAUUGCUUGCUUUUGUUAGCUUUGUCAAUCACAGGUGUGCAGUCUUAUUUCUGGGCUCUCUAUUCCAUUCUAUUGGUUAGUCCAUUUAUCUGUUUUUGUACCAGUAUCAUGCUGUUUUGGUUAAUGUAGACAUGUAGUAUAGUUUGAAGUUGAGUAAUGUGAUGCCCACAGCUUUGUUCUCUUUGCUUAGUAUUGCCUUUGCUAUUCAGGUUAUUAGUUCAAUAGGAAUUUUAAGAUAGGUUUUCUAGUUCUAUGAAGAAUGUCAUUGAUAGUUUGAUAGGAAUAGCACUGAAUCUGUAAAUUGCUUUGGGCAGUAUGCCCUUUUCAAUGAUAUUGAUUAUUCCUAUCCAUGGGCAUGGGAUGUUUUUCCGAUUGUUUAUGUCUUCUCUGAUUGCUUUGAGAAGUGCUAGUGUUUCACAGUUUUCAUUGUAGAGAUCUUUCACCUCCCUGGUUAGCUGUAUUCCUAGGUUAUUUAUUAUUUUUGUGGCAAAUGUGAAUGAGAUUGCGUUUCUAAUUUGGCUUUCAGCUUGGCCACUGUUGGUGAAUAGGAAUACUAGUAAUUUUUGUACAUUGAUUCUGUAUCCAAAUAUUUGCAAACUAUGUAUCUGGCAAAAGUCUAAUAUCCACCAUCUAUAAUGAACUUUAAAAAAUUAACAGGAAAAAAAAACAACUCCAUUAAAAAGUGUACAAGGGUAUGAACAGACACUUUUCAAAAAAAGACAUAUAUGCAGUCAACAAGCAUAUGAAACAAAGCUCAGUAUCACUGAUUAUUAGGGAAAUGCAAAUAAAAACCAUAAUGAGAUACCAUCUCACAGCAGUCAGAAUGGGCAUUAUUAAAAAGCCAAAAAAUAACAGUUGCUGGUGAUAUUGCAGAUGAAAAGGAACGCUUAGACACUGUUGGUAUGAGUGUAAUAUAGUUCAACAAUUGCAGAAAGCAGUAUGGCGAUUCUUCAAAGAGCUAAAAGCAGAACUACCAUUUGAUCCCGCAAUCUCAUUGCUAAACAUAUACCCAGGGGAAUACAAAUCAUUUUACCAUAAAGACACAUGUACAUAAAUGUUCAUUACAGCAGUAGGCACAAUAGCAAAGACAUAGAAUCAAUAUAAAUGCCCAUUAAUGACAGAUUGGAUAAAGCAAAUGUGGUGCAAGUACACCAUGGAAUACUACGCAGCCAUAAAAAGAAUUAGAUCAUGUCUUUUGCAGGAACAUGGGUGGAGCUGGAGCAUGAAUAAUAGCCAAGGAAAAGAAAACCAAAUAUUGCAUGUUCUCACUUAUAAGUGGGAGCUAAACGAUAAGAACUUAUGAACACAAAGGAGGGAAAAACAGACACUGGGGUCUACUUGAUGGUGGAGAUUGUGAGGAGGGAGAGGAGCAGAAAAGAUAACUUUGGAGCAGAAAAUCCAAAAAAUAUGGAUACUGGGCUUAAUUCCUGGGUAACAAAAUAAUCUGUACAAUAAAUCCCUGUGACAUGAGUUUACUGAUGUAACAAACCUUCAUAUGUACUUCUGAACCUAAGAUAAACAUUACAAAAAUAAUUAUUUUCUAUUAUUAAACAUGUCCUUUGGAAACAUUUUCAUAACUGUUGAGUAUUUUGUUGAGCCCUGAGGAAAGUAUGCAGUAGCUGAUUUUUGACUUUUAUUGCAAAUUUAUUUUUUUCUCCAUUCUUCACAUUUUUCCAUUGAUAUAAUACCUGCAUACUCUACCGAUCCAAACAAUAUAUAGUCAAAAGGGAAAUUGAUAAUCUCUCAUUUUCUCUUCUUAAUCCCGUUUUCUAAGGUAACUACUGUAAACUAUUUCCUUUGCGAAGAGAAACAAAUGCUACACACACAUACACACAUAUAUACGUAUAUAUAACCACUGACGAUUAAAAAACAAACAAAUAUGAGAACCUAACAUGGAGGUGCUAUUCUUCCUAAGUGGUCUUUUGUGUACCUGUUUUGAAGUUAAUGUAUAAUGAUUCGCAUUUUUUAAUAGCUGCUUAUUGUUUCAUAGAAUUAAUAUAUCACGGAUUGGGACACCAUUUCCCUCCCUGUAUAUGGAUAGCUAAGUCUGUUCCAGCUGCUGUAACAAAAUACCAUGAACUGGGUAUCUUAUAAAAGAAAUUUAUUUUUCAGAGUUCUAGGUCUGAAUUCUAAGAACAAGGUGCCAGCAGAUUCAACAUCCGGUGAGGGCUCAUUCCUCAUAGACAGUGUCUUCUUGCUGUAUCCUCACAUGGCAGAAGGGGAAGACAAUCUCCCUUUGGCCUCUUUUAUAAGGGCACAAAUCCUUUCCAUCCUCUAAAGGCCCCAUCUCUUACUACUAUUGCACUGAGGAUUAGGAUUCAACAUACAAAUUUUGGGGGAACACAAACAUGCAGGCCAUAGCAAUGGAUAAUCUAGUUAUUUACAGAUAGUGUUCUUAUAAACCUUUUAGAUAUAUUUUUGGGUAAGACUUUUGACAGUGUCAGAAAUUGCUAAUUUUUCUUUUUUCUUUCCCCCUGACAGAAUCCUAGAAAUGAAGAUACUCAGUAAGGGAGCAUACAAACUGUAAAUUUAAUAUUGCUAGUUUUAUUUUCUAAAAUAUUAUAAAAAUGUACAUUCAUCAAUAAUAAAUACUGUCAUUUUCUAUAGGUUUUCAUUAGCACUUAAUAUUCUCAAACUUUUA
RNA transcript from Callithrix jacchus (white-tufted-ear marmoset), 8805 nucleotides. RefSeq lists it as uncharacterized. The record is from RefSeq and is a predicted model, not a curated record. NCBI's taxonomy places the organism in Eukaryota, Metazoa, Chordata, Mammalia, Primates, Cebidae.